UAAUACGGAGGUGGCGAGCGUUGUCCGAAGUUACUGGGCGUAAAGCGCGCGUAGGCGGGUAGGUAAGUGAGGGGUGAAAGGCUGAGGCUCAACCUCAUGUUUGUCCUCUCAUACUGUCUAUCUUGAGUGAGGUAGGGAGAAGUGGAAUGGCUGGUGUAGCGGUGAAAUGCGUAGAUAUCAGUCGGAACACCGGUGGCGAAGGCGGCUUCUUGGACCUUAACUGACGCUGAGGCGCGAAAGCUGGGGGAGCGAACGGGAUUAGAUACCCCGGUAGUCCCAGCCGUAAACGAUGGAUACUAGGUGUCGGGGGUAUCGACCCCUCCGGUGCCGCAGCUAACGCAUUAAGUAUCCCGCCUGGGGAGUACGGCCGCAAGGUUG
This 378-nucleotide ribosomal RNA is filed under the name uncultured bacterium. RNAcentral describes it as "bacterial SSU rRNA". It matches the Rfam family "Bacterial small subunit ribosomal RNA", at positions 521 to 896 of the family's 1533-position model. The record is from RNAcentral.